GGCAGUCUUUCAGAAAGAGAGUGCCCAGACUUGCCAUUGUUUGUGAAAUAGUCUCCAAGCAAGAAGGGCCUGCAAUGGCCCAGCUGGGCUGGCCCUCCUUGUUCAGUCUCUGCCCUGCUGCCUGACACUACUGAUAGUGAAAGCUGGCUGAGCCCUGCUCUGCUGAUAGCGAUGUGAGGCACCAUUUAGCAGAAGUUUCCUGAUGCAGAGCUUUUAGAGAAUUCACGGACUUGCUCUGUCAUCUUCAUCAAAAGAUGUUUCCUUUUGCUGAGUCAGAAGAAGUAAAUUGGAUCUGGACCAGAAACUAAUGAAAAUUUUAUCUGUUCCCGAUGUUCGUUCCCUAUUUAAACACACAGCAUUCAGUUGGUGAAGCCAGAAGUUCUCUGCCAAUGCUGUCACCACCCAGGUCUGUGGUGCUGAAGGCCCAAUCUGAAGCAAGAAGUGACACAAAACCACUGCUGCUCCAUCCAGAGAGAGUUGCUGCGCUCUCCUCUACACCCAGUGGAUCAUAACGCAAGAUGGCAGCCUUCAUCCUUCACUCAGCCCGGGGCAAGGCCAUAUGGUAUUCCACUAACCAACCAAUACCUGUUCAUUGUGGAUCUCGCGCACUAACCCUGGGAUCUUUGACAGCAGUGCUGUUUCUUCCACAUGCUGUUUCUUCCACAUCAAUGGACCUUCAGCACCUACCACAGUGCCAGGCCACCAAGCCUGAAGUCCACUUAUGGAUGAGAUCAGCUCCAGCUCAAGAUCAAACUCUCUCCAGACGCAAGAUGGAAAAGUCCCAUUAGCCAAACCCUGGGCUGAGCUUCAAGAAACAACAAUCUGUUGUUGAUUCUUCUCUAUACUGGAAACAUAGAAAAUACAGAAGCUACCUAACCCCCAGGCCACCAAAAACCUAUGUUUAUUGCCAUCUGAUGCCAUCCUACCCUACAUGCACAGUGCCAGGGAAGGGGCAGCAAAAUAGCCUGGUGCCCCAACUCUGGGUCUUUUCUCCCUUGCUUUCAGAGCAGAACCCAUCUGAGUGAGAAUGAUUACCUUUUGUUGUUGUUGUUGUUAAGGUCAUACUGACUUAUAAUAUUGUGUAAAUUUCAGGUGUACAUUAUCAUAUUUCAGUUUCUGUAUAGACUGUAUGGUGCUCAUCACCAAUAGACUAGCUUUUGUCCAUCACCAUAUAUAUGUGCCCCUUUACCCCUAUCACCCCCCACCACUUGCUUCCCCUCUGGUAACCACUAACCUGUUCUCCUUAUCUAUGUGUGCAUUUAUUUGUUUAUCUUCCACAUAUGAGGGACUAGAUGUUUGUUUCAUUCUUAUCAAGGCUUGGGAAGAGGAUCGGGGGAAAGUCUCCUCAGAAAAAGAGUCUGAAAGAAGAAGUUGGCAGAAUUGCAAUAAACACAGGCAUUAAAAAAAUCUAACAGCAUGAAUCUGUUCACUAGCUGGAAAGAAAAUAUCUCAUAUAUUUAAGGCAGAGCAGCGAUGUUGUAUAAGUCGAGGGUGACGGGUAACUAUUCACUUCAUAGUCUAUGUGAAUGCUGCAGGGCACAAACUGUGUAACCAAACUUAGACAGCCCCAAUUCACGAUAUCUAAGUUAGAAAAGUUCCUGUAAUAAUUUCCACACAGAUGUGGCAGUUUUAGGCUAUGGAAACAUUUAAGUUGUGGAUUAUUCUGUAGAAAAUUCUUAGUGUACAUAGCAAAACCCAAAUUUCCCACAGAAUCAUACCCUAAAUUAUAACCAGGGGAACCUUGGAGGUUGUCUAGAUCACCCCCUUGAUUUGCAGAUGAGGACUGAAGGCCAGAGACAUAACGUGUCUUGCCCAAGGUCAGUAAGCCUCUACUGAAAAGGUGAAACAGACUUUCUCUGUUCCCCAUAGAUAGCCAAAAUAGGCCGCUUUGCUGUGAAUGGUAUUCAGCCUAAACAGAACCAAAAUUGAGUCUUAUUUGUCAGUAUCAUCAUUUAACAUUUAUUGAGCACCUUCUAAAUGCUAAGGCUUGAAAAUACAAAAAGAGUGCCUCCAAAUGACCCAGUCCAUGAGGCAACAGUAGGGCAGAGCUUUGCACCAAUCACACACAACCUUUGGUCCAGGAAAUGAGGACUUUUCUAGGAACAUUUCAAGGUGCAAAGGUAGUGUACUCUUUCUUGAGCCAUAAAAGGUUAUGGUCUAUUGAACAAAUCCUUAUUUAGGCUUUUUUUUUUUUCAAAUGUGUUUCAUCUCCGUUGAAGUUGACCAACUUCUUUGAAGCUGCUUUGGUUUAUUGGUUAAAUAUUUAUUCUUUAAUAUAUUUAAAAGCCAUAUUUACACAAUAUACUUGGAACCACUCUAGACUUUAGCAUAAUUAUUGCCUACUUAAAAUCAGGCUAUCCAAAGCAAGAAAAUCAAUGGCCAUUUACAGGGAAAAUGGGAAACUGGCAGGUUACUGAGGUUGGCCCUUAAUUUAAAUCUUAUUUUUAACACAGCCAUUCUACUUUUUCUAAUGGAAGUUUUAUGCGUGCUUGAAUUUGUGCUGUGAGACUGAGGUGGGAGGAUAAAGAAGCUCUUUUAUCAAAAACCAAUGAAACUUAACCACUUUAUGGACAAGCUCUUGCAAAUCUCUUACUGAAAUCAGACACGUUUGAGUUAGUUAUACAAGAGCAGGGCAGAAAGCACCUGCUGUCACGUCUGUUUCUCAUUUUGUACUCGUGUGACUCAGAUGCCCUGUGGAUUAAGUGAAAUGUGCUCCUGAGCUGCACUCGUGUAUACCACGUGCCAGCUCAGUUUGAAGGUGCAAACAGGAGCUCAGAAGGUGCCACUCAAUCACGUAGCUCUGGUUUUCCCCAACUGUAACGUGAACACGGGAGUCAUGUUAUGCAGGCCUGAGUCUCCAGCUUCGCUGUAAGCAAGAGAUACAGCAGAACUAUGUUUCCAUUUAAUGGUGCUCCCCCACACCCAAACCCCAUAUCAGUUCCCAUUUAAACUUCCACGAGGGAAGGUCAUGACAUGGAACGAGAAGUGCUGUAAAUCUUACACGUUGACAGUUGAUGACCUGUGCAUGAAUUUACAACUAUGUCCUGACACAGAAAAAGGAAGCCAACCAGAAUGCAUGAUCCAACAUCCCCAGGCAGCCAGCUACAGGUCACACUGUUUGUAACCUACAUAAAUGUAUGAAGGAGUCCACAGGUCUGGAGAAAUUGCAUUAGGGUAAAAUUAGUAUUCAGCUCUUAUGUUAAGACCCCAAAUCAAAUUCUUUCUUUUUUAACCCAAAGAGGGCUCUUUUAAAUAUUAGCACUAACAAGGAAUUCUGGAACUUGCCUCUUUGAUCACAUUUUAGAAUAUUAGCUCCUUGUCGGCCUCUUCAUUUGUCCUAUUCAUUCAACAAAUAUUUGGUGAGUCCCUACUGUGUGCUCUCAAGCAUCAAUAGUUAUAAAACAGCAAGAACUCUGCUGUCAUGGAGUUUCCUUUCUAGAUGGAGAAGGGGAGAAAUUGGCUUUGAACUAGCUUAGUGAAGGCGUGUUCCAGUUAAAGUCAAGUUUCCAUGUGGCAUUCCAGAUUUACACAGGAUAAAUUGGGAUGUGAUAAUUUGCUUCAAAAAAAGAUUCAAUAUUUUACCAAAAAAAAAAAAUCACAUAAGGAUUCCCUUUAAAUCUGAAACUCCCAUAGCACCCCCACCCGAGUCAUUUUAUUGAUUCUGGAUUUUUGAAGACUCCACUAAGUGUUAGAGUGUCCGUGCACUGUUCUGGAGCAUCCCCUAAUCACCACCAUGGGUAGACAGUCACUUCCACUGCAUAGAAGAAGUGCCCCAAGAAAGCAUCACUUAUUCUAGAGUAAAAAUACAACCCACUCUGAAAAGAACACUCACAAAGGCUACAGACAGGCCUAGGGAGGAAAAGUCUUAGGAACUCCAGUCCUGGUGUCUUCUCUGGAGCCUCUCUGCACCCUCUUCUUUUAACAACUAGGUCAACGGCAAAAGAAGUCUGGAGUCGAGGGGGAUUGUCUUUUCAGUUUCUCUGGAUUUUUCUCAUUGACAUGAAUGAGGGUAAUAUGGAGAAAAACAAGCCCAACUAAUACAGUUUAAAAAAUGAACCUGCUGAGAUGAAGACAUCAUUUUUCUCUCCUGACACUUUCAACCACUUAGAUAUUUAAUUAUCUGUCACCAGAAUCUCUCCUUGUGAGCACAAGCAAUUUCACCCAUUAGCAAUUAGUGAGAACAGUUCCUCCACUGAGCUUUUGUGUGAGAAAAUAAAUAGGCAGCUGCCACAUACAAACACACAGACUUAGAAGAAGUGAGAAAGAAGCUGAAAAGAGCAUUCCUAAUAUUACAACUGGCCUCUUGUUAUGUUCCCCACAUUUGGGUUUUAUUGAUCAGUGACCACAUUCUCCUCAGGACCGUUGUAAUGCCAGGAAGCUUCCUGGUCCAGCUGCAGAGUGGUUAGUUGGCAUAAAAAAUUUUUUUUUAAAGAACCAGCUCUACCCUACCGUAUUCAGAAAAGUUAAUGUUGUAUCAUUCAUUUCAGCUCCAAAAGUUGAAAGGCCAUCCUAUUUAAAUAGAGGAAGCAAAAGUGAAGCCAGCCUUGGGUGUUUCCACAAGUCUUUGAAAGGCUACCCAAGAAGGAUUCAUACUGAAAGCCUUCAUAGUAAUUAGAUACGUUUAGCAAAUACAGGUACAAAAGGGUAUUCAGAAGUCAAAUGAGCGAUUCUCCAAUUAACGAGCUUUGCUUGGGAAUAAAGGAUCAUGCUCAGUGGAGUGAGUGUUGCUUAAAUUAGCCCUAAAGGAGGAGUCUUCUUAAGAAAGAGAGGAAUAUAUGUACAAAUAAAAUGAGACCAAACUGGGAAGAAAUUGAGUGUUGUUUUCUGUCCCAAUGUUAGAUCAGUCCAAACAGAUGAUAGCCAAAGCCAACUUGCCAUAUAUACGUCACAGCCCUAGCUCUGCAAGGUCUCUCCUGGCUGCAUCUGGGUUUCCAUUGUGCCUGAGACUAGGUCCAACACCCAGUCUGUGUUGCAGUUCCAGAAAAAGACUUUCUGAUUCCUCUAGGAGAACCUGUGAUAACUGCCACCUGACACACUGGAGAAUUGCACCUGACCUUCAGGGGACCAGGAGUUUUUUUGCUGCUAUUUAGAGCACUCAGAGUUCAUCUUUGGCUGAGACUUGUACUAAAUAGCAACUGUGUAACUACCUUGGCAGAAUGUGAGGCACAGCAUCAUUGUUUGGGUCAAGUAGAGAAACUCAAUUUACACUUAUCGACAGCAGGCCACUCCUCCUGACAGGAAGCACUGAGCAGAGAUGUGCCUGGGGUCCACAUUUACCCAACUUCUCAUUACAAAUUACCUGUCCAUGUCUGACUUUUAUUCAUGCCACCAUUUUCCUCGACCGAUUUGUUUAUUUAAAUAAAACGAACUGAAGGCUAUUUUCAUGGGAAAAAUUUCCUUGGGCAUACUCAGGUUACUGACAACUCCCAAGAUAAAAAUCAAGCCUUGAAAUAUUGGUACUCUGACUACAGACCGCAUGGCAACAGAUAAAAAUCUUUGAAAAAUCACUCACAAAGGUCAGGAGAUUUAAAGUCCAUAUAUCAAAAUGCAAUCUAUUCUUAGGAGGCAGCCACACAGUAAGAAGCUAUAAGCCAAUGGGUUUUAUAAUGGCACCACGGCUGUUUAGAGCUGCCUUCCAAGUGCCAGGUGUGAUACCAGCAGUAUGAUGCAAACUCCUAUAUUCCAAGUAACCACUUAGGUCUUAUGGUAAAAUAAGAUCUCAAAAUAGAUCCUUAAAAAGGGAAAAAGUAGACAUUGACUUCAGCUUGAUAUUGUAAUUCCUAACGAAAUCUCUCAAAUCAAUGGUGAGGAGGUGUACAGAAAGACCAACGCCAUUCAUGGUAAGAAUCAUUAGGAAUUCAUAACAAAAGCAAAUACAAAAAGAUGAGAGGAUUGGGGUUUCGAGUAGGGCACACAGACGUGUGCUUCAGAAAUGUGGCUUAUUCAUUUAGUUUUCCUAUGUCCCUGUUUCUUCUGUAUGUGCUAGUGGAAGUAGACAAUUUAGAAAACUUUCCUGAGACUUGCCUGGACAUCAUUUUUAAGACCUUGGGCUUACUGCCCCUUUUCAUUGUUCCACAUUCCUCUCUUGUUUCAGCAUUGUUUUUCAUUGCCUAGACCAAGACAUUGGCACCAGUUAACUCACUCUGAAAUUCAAAGAUUGAAAUGCAAAAUUCUAUUGAAGAAUUAGGGAUGGGUUGUCCUAUAAUAAUGUGAUAGAACUUUUUUACUUUAUGAACUGUCCCAAUGUAGCAUAUCUAAAAGUAUAGCACCAAUUCUAUAGAACACUGUUUCAAACAUCCUUAGAAGGGUCAGGAUACAUUGCUCAGAAAUUCUUGAGAGUGAAUCAAUUAGAUGAUUAAUUGAUUCUAAUUAUCAGAAAUUUUUAAAAGUCUAUCAACUCUACUAGCCAUAUUUAUACUAAUCCAAGUCUGAGGUAUUUCCUAGCUCUAAAAUUCCACAAUUCUACAAUUCUGGUCAUCAUUUUUUCCCUCUAUCCUUCUAAGAAGGUCCUAUCACGGGGGGCUUCAUUUACCAUCCCGAUCUCUAACUCCUUCUCUUUAGUCCUCUGUAUCUCCACUAGAAAUAAGGACCAACACAUUCUUGUUUAUGGCAACUCCAUUUUCACAGUGGACAUUAUUUUCAAGGAUUGUAAAGUAGUUGCCAUCAGUCCAUCUGACAACCUCAAUCAAGAACUACUGCUUCGAAAGCAGAUCAAUCCGAAGGGGUCUCCCGGCCAAACCGAAAGGAAGAGCUAAGGAAAGUUACCUGCCCUCUCUACAAAUGUCCUGAUGUUAUUUGAAGAUUACCAGUGCCUACUUCACAAUUUCAUCGUUGUUAAUAUCAAUAAUUUUAGACCUAUUUCACACAUUUGCUAGUGUUGCUUAAAGAUGUUGGGAGAUUAUAAAGAUAGCACUAAUUCUUGCUUGAUAAUUUUCCUCCUUUUGCCCUAGAAUGCUGAGUGAGAUGUCAUUUUUCAAGAAUAAUUCUGAAAAUUCAACCCUGCUGAAACUUCCACACACAGAGUUAAAAGGCUCAAACAGUCAUAGAUUCAAUUUAGCCAAAUCACAAUCAGAUUUGAUACUCUAGCCAGACCAAGCAACAGACUGACUGAGUGACCAUUAUUCAUAGACAUCUUUCCUUAUCACACUUCGUUAACACCAGGAGAGUUUUUAUUUCUUUGUCUUAAUCAUGCAAACAUUUGGAGAAUUUAAUUUAUGCAUAGAAUCACACUGAGUAAUCCAGGUCUGAAAGGUAAUGUGUGUUAGCUUAUAUUUGUUGGUUUCUGUGAGGGAAAUGGCCGCUUUCAUAGACAGCAACCUGAGAAGCACAAUGCUUACGUUGGUGGUGUCUAGCACAUGGUUUCCAACCCUGGGUCCUUGGUCAGCCUCCCCUCCAGUGAUCUACACAAUCUUGCUAAGGAAGAUCACACAUAUCAUUACUUUAUAUAUCAGUUCAC
This is a long non-coding RNA of Equus caballus (horse), 7456 nucleotides long. The record is from Ensembl. Lineage: Eukaryota; Metazoa; Chordata; Mammalia; Perissodactyla; Equidae.